AGGGCACUUUCGGCGGCUGGUUCGGCGGCCGAAACCCCCCUCCAGAGACGAAACUCAUGCAUGUUCGGCGGCACCUUCGGCAGCCGAAAGUCUCGUCCAGAGAUGAAACUCACAUACUUUCGGCGGCCGAACUCCCUCUUUCGGCGGCCGAAAGACCUUUUCUAAACCGAAAGCCUAGCUUUCGGGGGCAAGCUUUGGCAGCCGAAACUGCCUCCUC
RNAcentral lists this long non-coding RNA (217 nucleotides) under Manihot esculenta (cassava). Its description in RNAcentral is "long non-coding RNA (MESC_LNC003866)". The record is from RNAcentral. Lineage: Eukaryota; Viridiplantae; Streptophyta; Magnoliopsida; Malpighiales; Euphorbiaceae.